This 120-nucleotide ribosomal RNA is filed under the name uncultured bacterium. RNAcentral describes it as "partial 16S ribosomal RNA". It matches the Rfam family "Bacterial small subunit ribosomal RNA", at positions 796 to 914 of the family's 1533-position model. The record is from RNAcentral.
CACGCCGUAAACGAUGAGUGCUAAGUGUUGGAGGGUUUCCGCCCUUCAGUGCUGCAGUAAACGCAUUAAGCACUCCGCCUGGGGAGUACGGCCGCAAGGCUGAAACUCAAAGGAAUUGAC